ACAGCAGCAGCCACGGGAAUACGAAGGGGGCUAGCGUUGCUCGGAACCACUGGGCGUAAAGGGUGCGUAGGCGGGUCUUUAAGUCAGGGGUGAAAUCCUGGAGCUCAACUCCAGAACUGCCUUUGAUACUGAGAGCCUUGAGUUCGAGAGAGGUGAGUGGAACUGCGAGUGUAGAGGUGAAAUUCGUAGAUGUUCGCAAGAACACCAGUGGCGAAGGCGGCUCACUGGCCCGAUACUGACGCUGAGGUGCGAAAGCGUGGGGAGCAAACAGGAUUAGAUACCCCAGUAGUCCCUGUCUCUUAUAC
Molecule: ribosomal RNA, 305 nt
Filed under: uncultured bacterium
Lineage: Bacteria
Description: partial 16S ribosomal RNA
Rfam family: Bacterial small subunit ribosomal RNA
Source: RNAcentral